RNAcentral lists this ribosomal RNA (336 nucleotides) under Triticum aestivum (bread wheat). Its description in RNAcentral is "partial small subunit ribosomal RNA". Lineage: Eukaryota; Viridiplantae; Streptophyta; Magnoliopsida; Poales; Poaceae. The record is from RNAcentral.
UUGUUUCCAGGCUCAGAUGCCGAUGACAUGGAGCACGACGAAUUGGAAGACUCAAGUCACAAUACCUAUGUCGACCAUGAUCCAUUGGACUAUGUCUACUCAAACCUCCCAGACCACACACACAUACUGAAGCACGCCGCAAAUUGCGAUCACUGCAAGGCCAAGAAGUUUGUGUCCGAGGCCCCAGGAUUCUCCUGUCGCAGUGGGCAGAUCCAGCUGAAGCAACCGGAGCCCAUCCCGGAGCUAAUGAGGCUUUGGUCUAGCAUGGAUGCGGACUCAAGGCAUUUUCGGGAGAACAUACGGUUCUUCAACGGCCACUUCUCCUUCACAACCCUC